This 1372-nucleotide ribosomal RNA is filed under the name Cellulomonas sp. enrichment culture clone O8. RNAcentral's name for it is "16S ribosomal RNA". It matches the Rfam family "Bacterial small subunit ribosomal RNA". Lineage: Bacteria; Bacillati; Actinomycetota; Actinomycetes; Micrococcales; Cellulomonadaceae. The record is from RNAcentral.
ACGGUGACACGGGGCUUGCCCUGUCUGAUCAGUGGCGAACGGGUGAGUAACACGUGAGUAACCUGCCCUUGACUCUGGGAUAACCGCGGGAAACGGCGGCUAAUACCGGAUAUGAGACGUACAGGCAUCUGUUGCGUCUGGAAAGAUUUAUCGGUCAAGGAUGGGCUCGCGGCCUAUCAGCUUGUUGGUGGGGUGAUGGCCUACCAAGGCGACGACGGGUAGCCGGCCUGAGAGGGCGACCGGCCACACUGGGACUGAGACACGGCCCAGACUCCUACGGGAGGCAGCAGUGGGGAAUAUUGCACAAUGGGCGCAAGCCUGAUGCAGCGACGCCGCGUGAGGGAUGAAGGCCUUCGGGUUGUAAACCUCUUUCAGCAGGGAAGAAGCGCAAGUGACGGUACCUGCAGAAGAAGCGCCGGCUAACUACGUGCCAGCAGCCGCGGUAAUACGUAGGGCGCAAGCGUUGUCCGGAAUUAUUGGGCGUAAAGAGCUCGUAGGCGGUUUGUCGCGUCUGCUGUGAAAACCUGAGGCUCAACCUCGGGCUUGCAGUGGGUACGGGCAGACUAGAGUGCGGUAGGGGUGACUGGAAUUCCUGGUGUAGCGGUGGAAUGCGCAGAUAUCAGGAGGAACACCGAUGGCGAAGGCAGGUCACUGGGCCGCAACUGACGCUGAGGAGCGAAAGCAUGGGGAGCGAACAGGAUUAGAUACCCUGGUAGUCCAUGCCGUAAACGUUGGGCACUAGGUGUGGGGCUCAUUCCACGAGUUCCGUGCCGCAGCAAACGCAUUAAGUGCCCCGCCUGGGGAGUACGGCCGCAAGGCUAAAACUCAAAGAAAUUGACGGGGGCCCGCACAAGCGGCGGAGCCAUGCGGAUUAAUUCGAUGCAACGCGAAGAACCUUACCAAGGCUUGACAUACACCGGAAAAGUGCAGAGAUGUGCUCCCCGCAAGGUCGGUGUACAGGUGGUGCAUGGUUGUCGUCAGCUCGUGUCGUGAGAUGUUGGGUUAAGUCCCGCAACGAGCGCAACCCUCGUCCUAUGUUGCCAGCACGUCAUGGUGGGGACUCAUAGGAGACUGCCGGGGUCAACUCGGAGGAAGGUGGGGAUGACGUCAAAUCAUCAUGCCCCUUAUGUCUUGGGCUUCACGCCAUGCUACAAUGGCCGGUACAAAGGGCUGCGAUACCGCGAGGUGGAGCGAAUCCCAAAAAGCCGGUCUCAGUUCGGAUUGGGGUCUGCAACUCGACCCCAUGAAGUCGGAGUCGCUAGUAAUCGCAGAUCAGCAACGCUGCGGUGAAUACGUUCCCGGGCCUUGUACACACCGCCCGUCAAGUCACGAAAGUCGGUAACACCCGAAGCCGGUGCCCAACCCUGGGAGG